UCAUUAAUGAAUUGUAAAUGGGGGUUUGAUGCUGGCAGCCUAGCUGCAUGUGCUUGCCUUCAACAAUCUUUAUCCUUAAACACCUGUGCACCUUUUGAGGGUUUUUGAGUUUGAUCUCGGAUCCCCUUAUUCUUACAUACUCUGCCCGUAAUGUCGAAUGUGAUUGUGCCAUUUGAGGCAUUAAUAAAGAAAUAUAACUUUUAACAACGGAUCUCUUGGCUCUCGCAUCGAUGAAGAACGCAGCGAAAUGCGAUAAGUAAUGUGAAUUGCAGAAUUCAGUGAAUCAUCGAAUCUUUGAACGCACCUUGCGCUCCCUGGUAUUCCGAGGAGCACACCUGUUCGAGUGUCGUGAAGUUCUCAGGCUAGAUGCUUUUUUAAAAGCAGUCGAAGCUUGGUUUAUUGGGCUCUGCCGUAUUCCUUUUAUUUGGGGAUGGCUGGCCUUAAAAGCAUUAGCUGAUCCUCGUGUAGCAUUGGUUUGACUCAGUGUGAUAAUAAUUUGACCGCUGAGGACAUCUUGUGAGAUGGCCAAGUCUCAUUUGGUUCGCUUCUAAUCUGGAAUUUUCUUCCACUCUUCAAUCUUGACCUCGAAUCAGGUGGGACUACCCGCUGAACUUAAGCAUAUCAAUAAGCGGAGGAAAAGAAACUAACAAGGAUUCCCCUAGUAACGGCGAGUGAAGCGGGAAGAGCUCAAAUUUAAAAUCUGGCAGUCUUCGAUUGUCCGAAUUGUAAUCUAGAGAAGUGUUUUCCGCGCUGGACUGUGUACAAGUUUCCUGGAUACGGAACAUCAUAGAGGGUGAGAAUCCCGUCCUUGACACAGACUCCCAGUGCUUUUGUGAUGCGCUCUCGACGAGUCGAGUUGUUUGGGAUUGCAGCUCAAAAUGGGAGGUAAAUUCCUUCUAAAGCUAAAUAUUGGCGAGAGACCGAUAGCGAACAAGUACCGUGAGGGAAAGAUGAAAAGCACUUUGGAAAGAGAGUUAAACAGUACGUGAAAUUGUUAAAAGGGAAACGCUUGAAGUCAGUCGCGUCUGCUUGGAUUCAGCCUUAUGGUGCAUUUCCUUGUAGACGGGCCAGCGUCCAUGUUGUUUGUCGGAAAAGGGGUGAAGGAAUGUGGCUCCUUUGGGAGUGUUAUAGCUUUCACUCGUAUGCGGGGAAUGAUAUGGAGCGGUACAGCAUGCUUCGGUGGUGCUUGUGCUGGCAUAAUGGCUUUAAACGACCCGUCUUGAAACACGGACCAAGGAGUCUAACAUGUCUGCGAGUGUUUGGGUGGAAAACCCGAGCGCAUAAUGAAAGUGACUGCUGGGAACCCCUUUUGGGAGGCACCGGCGCCCCGAGCUGACCUUCUGUGACGCAUCGGANGUAGAGCAUACAUGUUGGGACCCGAAAGAUGGUGAACUAUGCCUGAAUAGGGCGAAGCCAGAGGAAACUCUGGUGGAGGCUCGUAGCGAUUCUGA
Molecule: ribosomal RNA, 1451 nt
Filed under: uncultured Clavulina
Lineage: Eukaryota; Fungi; Basidiomycota; Agaricomycetes; Cantharellales; Hydnaceae
Description: eukaryotic LSU rRNA
Rfam family: Eukaryotic large subunit ribosomal RNA (bases 580-1451)
Source: RNAcentral